This 76-nucleotide transfer RNA is filed under the name Clostridium sp. CM027. RNAcentral describes it as "tRNA-Ala". It matches the Rfam family "tRNA". From Rfam's summary of the family: Transfer RNA (tRNA) molecules are approximately 80 nucleotides in length. RNAcentral also lists the same sequence under 3 other names. Lineage: Bacteria; Bacillati; Bacillota; Clostridia; Eubacteriales; Clostridiaceae. The record is from RNAcentral.
GGGGGUAUAGCUCAGAUGGGAGAGCACCUGCCUUGCACGCAGGGGGUCAAGAGUUCGAUUCUCUUUACCUCCACCA